CCUACGGGAGGCAGCAGUGAGGAAUAUUGGUCAAUGGACGAGAGUCUGAACCAGCCAAGUAGCGUGAAGGAUGACUGCCCUAUGGGUUGUAAACUUCUUUUAUAUGGGAAUAAAAUGUUCCACGUGUGGGAUUUUGUAUGUACCAUAUGAAUAAGGAUCGGCUAACUCCGUGCCAGCAGCCGCGGUAAUACGGAGGAUCCGAGCGUUAUCCGGAUUUAUUGGGUUUAAAGGGAGCGUAGGUGGGUUGUUAAGUCAGUUGUGAAAGUUUGCGGCUCAACCGUAAAAUUGCAGUUGAAACUGGCAGUCUUGAGUACAGUAGAGGUGGGCGGAAGUCGUGGUGUAGCGGUGAAAUGCUUAGAUAUCACGAAGAACUCCGAUUGCGAAGGCAGUUCACUGGACUGCAACUGACACUGAGGCUCGAAAGUGUGGGUAUCAAACAGGAUUAGAUACCCUUGUAGUC
RNAcentral lists this ribosomal RNA (460 nucleotides) under uncultured bacterium. RNAcentral's name for it is "partial 16S ribosomal RNA". It matches the Rfam family "Bacterial small subunit ribosomal RNA", at positions 338 to 795 of the family's 1533-position model. The record is from RNAcentral.